This is a long non-coding RNA of Neodiprion fabricii, 1547 nucleotides long. RefSeq lists it as uncharacterized. The record is from RefSeq and is a predicted model, not a curated record. The transcript has 5 exons. Lineage: Eukaryota; Metazoa; Arthropoda; Insecta; Hymenoptera; Diprionidae.
UAGUAGUCAGAGAUAUCCGAGUUCAUUGAAAGUUGAAUAACCGACAUUAAACGGCCCCAGAAGCGGGCGACGGCCGCCUUGUAAUUCUCCUUUAAAGUGAAAUGCAGUUUACAGUGAUUACGAAGGAAAAAGAGAAAGAGAGAGAGAGAGGGAGAGAGAAGCGCGCGGCAGCAAUUAAAUAGUACGUUUCUGAUGUUGCUACUUAUUAUUAAACUCGCGAGCGAGUGAGCGAGUCAACCAGUUGACUUUAAACCACACGAUAAAUUAGUCUUACAGUGAAUUACGCCCAAAUAUAUAACACGUGCGAAACCCAGAACUGGAAUGUCUCAUGAUAUGAUCAAGGCCAAAACAAUUUUACGCUCUCCUCGUCGCAACACAUGUCGCAUUAAAAAGUGACAAUCCCAAUGGUGCAGGCAACAGAUCUUUUCACAAAAGAGAUUUCAUCGGAAAAACUGAUAAAGGUAGUUUAUACUUCUUUGGAGAUACUUUUCAUUCCGUUAUGGCAAUUAUUGUAAUAUCUUUGUUCACUCUACCGAGUGAAUUGAUUGGCGUGACUUUAGAUGACUUCACGAUCUGAAAGAGGUUAAAGUAUGACUCGACGUGAUUUGAAGUUACGUGAGUACGGCUAAAUGCGUAUGCUGUUUAUGUUAUAUGGCUGCUUCUCGUACGUCCUUCGGGAAAAAAGGAAAGACACAAAAGAGAUGACGACGAGAAAAAAAAAAAAAAAAAAAACAACAGCAGAACCGCCGACAGAUAUGGAGGUAAAUACGGCAACAGCAGCAGCCGCAGCAGCAGAGACUUGUAUUGUGGAAUUAUAAUGUAUCACAAUAUAAGAAAUUCGGGAAUUUCAAUGUAAACAACUCGUCUUCGACUCAACACCGCGACGACAUCGAAAAUACGCAUACACGUAACGUGUAUACAUGUAUGUGCUAUCAGAACCUCAAUUGUUAAGCAACUGAAAUUUUAAAUUUCUUCGACAAAACGCCUUAGCAGUAACCUUUCGCGGCUACAGAUAGGCGAUAAAAUAUCUCGUUGGCACAUUUGAAGAGGCGAUUUGGAAAAUGUUAUAAUAUAUAUUUAAAAAGUGUCUGUAUUAUGAAAAUUAUUCUGCAAUUUUUUCUUAAUUGUUCCUUGAAUAUCAAAUCGCACAAAUGUCAUCAUUCAAGACCUCCACCGCUGCGGUUUGCAGGGACGAAUUCAGACGAACCAUGUAUAUAUAUAUAUAGGAAAAGUCUUACGGAGUAUUUUCUCACGCUAAUAACGAACUGAUCUCGAGAUUUGUAGCAAUAAUUCGUAACUCUACAAAAUAAUAGAGGUCCCUAACAACGGUGCACGUACAACACGGUGCUAGCCGAACAGAAAAUGAGAUUUUCAAAUCUACAGCAGGGAUUAUUACGCAUAUCAUUAUACUCAGGUAUGUACAAAGGUAUGACUGAUAUUCUCUCAUCGUCAACAGUCAUAAUAACUAACAAUGAGUUAUUAUAUAUAGAACGGAUUGUCAUUCGGAUUGUGGUAGCGGUCACCACGCCGAAACGCUCACCCACCCC